This 74-nucleotide transfer RNA is filed under the name Stephanopyxis turris. RNAcentral describes it as "tRNA-His". It matches the Rfam family "tRNA". Rfam says of the family: Transfer RNA (tRNA) molecules are approximately 80 nucleotides in length. Their secondary structure includes four short double-helical elements and three loops (D, anti-codon, and T loops). Further hydrogen bonds mediate the characteristic L-shaped molecular structure. tRNAs have two regions of fundamental functional importance: the anti-codon, which is responsible for specific mRNA codon recognition, and the 3' end, to which the tRNAs corresponding amino acid is attached (by aminoacyl-tRNA synthetases). tRNAs cope with the degeneracy of the genetic code in two manners: having more than one tRNA (with a specific anti-codon) for a particular amino acid; and 'wobble' base-pairing, i.e. permitting non-standard base-pairing at the 3rd anti-codon position. RNAcentral also lists the same sequence under 2 other names. Lineage: Eukaryota; Bacillariophyta; Melosirophyceae; Stephanopyxales; Stephanopyxidaceae. The record is from RNAcentral.
GGCGGGCGUGGCCAAGUGGUUAAGGCAGUGGGUUGUGGUUCCACCAUUCGCCGGUUCAAAUCCGGUCGUUCGCC